CUACGGGACGCAGCAGUGGGGAAUAUUGGACAAUGGGGGAAACCCUGAUCCAGCAAUGCCGCGUGUGUGAAGAAGGCCUGCGGGUUGUAAAGCACUUUCGGUUGGGAGGACUGCUUCUAGCACUAAUAUUGUUGGAAGUUGACGUUACCUUCAGAAGAAGCACCGGCUAACUCCGUGCCAGCAGCCGCGGUAAUACGGAGGGUGCGAAGCGCUAAUCGGAAUUACUGGGCGUAAAGCGCGCGUAGGCGGCUAGAUCAGUCGGGUGUGAAAGCCCCGGGCUUAACCUGGGAACUGCAUCCGAUACUGUCUAGCUUGAGUACAGGAGAGGAGAGUGGAAUUCCACAUGUAGCGGUGAAAUGCGUAGAUAUGUGGAGGAACACCAAUGGCGAAGGCAGCUCUCUGGCCUGAUACUGACGCUGAGGUGCGAAAACGUGGGGAGCAAACAGGAUUAGAUACCCGUGUAGUC
Molecule: ribosomal RNA, 466 nt
Filed under: uncultured bacterium
Lineage: Bacteria
Description: partial 16S ribosomal RNA
Rfam family: Bacterial small subunit ribosomal RNA
Source: RNAcentral